GUGUUUAUAUUAUGAACCCACCCUGUUCGGACUGCUAAGGUACUGACCCAUAGGUGUGGAUGCUGCCAUAGUGACCAGGGAAAACGGAAAAUUUUAUCAUACUUACCAUAAUUUUUGUUUCCUGGUUACUAUGGGCAGCAUUCACACCAAAUCCUCCCACUAUAAUCUCGGACAUCAAAAGACAGUGAGCUGAGGGGAGAAGGGGGUCAUAUAGAGUAGUUAAUUAAUCUAAUUAACUUCUGUCUUAUAACAAAGUGAGGGCGGGGAUAAACCCAUAGGUGUGAAUGCUGCCCAUAGUAACCAGGAAACGAAAAUUAUGGUAAGUAUGAUAAAAUUUUCCGUUAUCCUUCCUAAUGUGUGCAAAUAGGGUUUCCAUAACAAGAGUGAAGAGGAUUGGUGAUAUCGGGCACCCCUGUCUUGUUCCGUUAAAUAUUUGUAUUUUAGACGAUAAUAUCGAAUUAAUUUUAAUUCUGGCAGUUGGGGUAUUGUAUAACACAAAUAUUCUGUGUAUAAUAGCUGGGCCAAAUCCAAAACCAACUAAAGUUUCCCUCAAAGAUCUCCAUGACACCCUAUCAAAAGCUUUUCGGAGUAAAUCCCUUUUGGUCAGUAUGUAUUAAUUCCGGUUGCUGCCCAUGGUUUUCAAAUUCCCUCUAAGAACACAUUUCAGCAUUUCCCACAGUGUCCCUGCAGAUAUAUCUGGUGUGUUGUUGUUAUGCAAUAUGCUUUCUAACCAUCCCUGUAUCUGCUUUUUGUUUGUUUCCUUAAGAAGCAUAAAUUCGUUAAUUUGCAAUGUAAAUUUUGCUUGUAGUGUUUUAGGGAUUAAUAAUUCUGCUGACACUGGUGAGUCAUCAGACAAAAUUGCGUUCCUAAUCUCUCCCUUUGUGAAUAAACGCAGCCAAUGUUGUGAAGCGAAUAUAUAAUCAAUUCUGGAGUAAACUGAAUGGACUCUAGAGAAGUAUGUGUAGUCUUUUUUUUCUGGAUUGAGUGCCUUCCAUAUGUCAAUUAACUGUAAAUCUGUUAACAUUUUUUUAAUUGUUAGCCAUAUAUACAUAUUUCAAACAUUUGUGCUUUCUUUGUAUGCCCAAUAGGUAGGGGAGUGUGGGUUAAGGGAAACAAGAGAGCUAGGAAAAGAGAAAAAGAAAAAAAAAGCCGGAGGGGGGUGAAUAAAAUGAAAUAAGUAAAGUAAAAAAAAAGAAGAUAAGAAAAAAAAAGAUAUUCAUUGACAGUUAGAUCCAAUAUAUCUUAUAGGGGGGCUUUUUUUUUGAGCAAAUGAAUUAGAGUGAAUGAAUUAGAGCUAAAUAACUGAUUCUAGUACAAACAAAAUCUAACAAAAUAACUGCCUUUUGCACAAAUCCUGCAUGUAGAU
Xenopus laevis (African clawed frog) is the source of this 1366-nucleotide long non-coding RNA. RefSeq lists it as uncharacterized. NCBI's taxonomy places the organism in Eukaryota, Metazoa, Chordata, Amphibia, Anura, Pipidae. The record is from RefSeq and is a predicted model, not a curated record. The transcript is spliced from 3 exons.